Molecule: ribosomal RNA, 1522 nt
Filed under: Salmonella enterica subsp. enterica serovar Typhi
Lineage: Bacteria; Pseudomonadati; Pseudomonadota; Gammaproteobacteria; Enterobacterales; Enterobacteriaceae
Description: bacterial SSU rRNA
Rfam family: Bacterial small subunit ribosomal RNA
Source: RNAcentral
AGAGUUUGAUCAUGGCUCAGAUUGAACGCUGGCGGCAGGCCUAACACAUGCAAGUCGAACGGUAACAGGAAGCAGCUUGCUGCUUUGCUGACGAGUGGCGGACGGGUGAGUAAUGUCUGGGAAACUGCCUGAUGGAGGGGGAUAACUACUGGAAACGGUGGCUAAUACCGCAUAACGUCGCAAGACCAAAGAGGGGGACCUUCGGGCCUCUUGCCAUCAGAUGUGCCCAGAUGGGAUUAGCUUGUUGGUGAGGUAACGGCUCACCAAGGCGACGAUCCCUAGCUGGUCUGAGAGGAUGACCAGCCACACUGGAACUGAGACACGGUCCAGACUCCUACGGGAGGCAGCAGUGGGGAAUAUUGCACAAUGGGCGCAAGCCUGAUGCAGCCAUGCCGCGUGUAUGAAGAAGGCCUUCGGGUUGUAAAGUACUUUCAGCGGGGAGGAAGGUGUUGUGGUUAAUAACCGCAGCAAUUGACGUUACCCGCAGAAGAAGCACCGGCUAACUCCGUGCCAGCAGCCGCGGUAAUACGGAGGGUGCAAGCGUUAAUCGGAAUUACUGGGCGUAAAGCGCACGCAGGCGGUCUGUCAAGUCGGAUGUGAAAUCCCCGGGCUCAACCUGGGAACUGCAUUCGAAACUGGCAGGCUUGAGUCUUGUAGAGGGGGGUAGAAUUCCAGGUGUAGCGGUGAAAUGCGUAGAGAUCUGGAGGAAUACCGGUGGCGAAGGCGGCCCCCUGGACAAAGACUGACGCUCAGGUGCGAAAGCGUGGGGAGCAAACAGGAUUAGAUACCCUGGUAGUCCACGCCGUAAACGAUGUCUACUUGGAGGUUGUGCCCUUGAGGCGUGGCUUCCGGAGCUAACGCGUUAAGUAGACCGCCUGGGGAGUACGGCCGCAAGGUUAAAACUCAAAUGAAUUGACGGGGGCCCGCACAAGCGGUGGAGCAUGUGGUUUAAUUCGAUGCAACGCGAAGAACCUUACCUGGUCUUGACAUCCACAGAACUUUCCAGAGAUGGAUUGGUGCCUUCGGGAACUGUGAGACAGGUGCUGCAUGGCUGUCGUCAGCUCGUGUUGUGAAAUGUUGGGUUAAGUCCCGCAACGAGCGCAACCCUUAUCCUUUGUUGCCAGCGGUCCGGCCGGGAACUCAAAGGAGACUGCCAGUGAUAAACUGGAGGAAGGUGGGGAUGACGUCAAGUCAUCAUGGCCCUUACGACCAGGGCUACACACGUGCUACAAUGGCGCAUACAAAGAGAAGCGACCUCGNGAGAGCAAGCGGACCUCAUAAAGUGCGUCGUAGUCCGGAUUGGAGUCUGCAACUCGACUCCAUGAAGUCGGAAUCGCUAGUAAUCGUGGAUCAGAAUGCCACGGUGAAUACGUUCCCGGGCCUUGUACACACCGCCCGUCACACCAUGGGAGUGGGUUGCAAAAGAAGUAGGUAGCUUAACCUUCGGGGGGGCGCUUACCACUUUGUGAUUCAUGACUGGGGUGAAGUCGUAACAAGGUAACCGUAGGGGAACCUGCGGUUG